RNAcentral lists this transfer RNA (86 nucleotides) under Sporotomaculum syntrophicum. It matches the Rfam family "tRNA". From Rfam's summary of the family: Transfer RNA (tRNA) molecules are approximately 80 nucleotides in length. Their secondary structure includes four short double-helical elements and three loops (D, anti-codon, and T loops). RNAcentral also lists the same sequence under 2 other names. Lineage: Bacteria; Bacillati; Bacillota; Clostridia; Eubacteriales; Desulfallaceae. The record is from Rfam by way of RNAcentral.
GCCGGAGUGGCGGAACUGGCAGACGCAAGGGACUUAAAAUCCCUCGAUCAGCAAUGAUCGUACCGGUUCGAUUCCGGUCUCCGGCA